GUGAAGGAAUGGAUCCUGAAGCUCUAUAAAACAAUUUUUCUGGAGAUCCAUUCACAAAUAAGAAGUAAGAUUUCUUGUUCUCUCUCUCUUUCUCUCUUUUUCCAAAAAAAUAGAGACAGACAAGUCCUCUAUUUUGGCUUGUUCUGCAAAUAUUUAAUAUUUUGCAGGUUGGCCUCGUCAAUUCUUGUUAGAUAUGAUCCUAAAAGCACAAAACACAACACGCUCAAACGUAAUUCAUAUACACAUCUACACACAAAUUCAAACAUAAAACACGCUCAAACAGAAAACAUAAGACAAACAAAACACGCUCAAACACACAUGACACGUCUAAACACAAACUCAAACAGAAAACAUAAUACAAACAAAACACGCUUAAACACAGAAAAGCAAGACACAAACACACAUCUAAACGCCUCAAAUUCAAAUAAAAACAUAAGACAAACAAUACACAUUCAUUUACAUAUUCACUGUCAAGAGAAUUUUGCUUUGAGCUCGUUGUUUUCUCUUAAAUUUUAAAGCAUCUAUUUUUAUGUAAUUGUUUCUCAAUAGUUAGACACUUUAUUUACUUUUUAAUUUAAGUUAAGUGUGUAACCUUGAUUUUCUUUUUGUUGAUCAUGUGCAACUACUGCAAAGCAAAAUUCAACCAGACUACAUAUUUUGCAAGGUAUGUGGUUUAUAUAGUAGUUAUCUGAAUUAAAUCACAAUUAAGUUGUUUUGGGCUUCUGAUGUAUACAAGUUUUUCUAAUAACAUGAUUUUUGUUAACCCAGGGGUUUCAGUGUCAAGUUCAGCCUUAGUCUAUUCUGGAGAGUAAGUUUGGCUUUCUCUUUUGUUUUUAGAUAUGUGUAAUUGUUUUCUAGUUAGGCAUUGAUUUGGCUUUUCGGCUUUGAUUCAGUUAGUUGCCUUAGGUUUGGUGAAGUUGGAGGGCAUCAUGCAUGUAACCUCAUCAAAAUAACAAGUACGAGUAAGCAACUAAACGGUGCCAGCCACUACUCAAGAUGCUAUGGGUUUUAUUUUUUAAGAUAUUUUGAGUUUUCCUUGGUUUCAGAAGAACAUAUAUUUAGGAACAAAAAGGUUUGAAGACCAUCCAGUCAGC
RNAcentral lists this long non-coding RNA (1094 nucleotides) under Capsella grandiflora. RNAcentral's name for it is "long non-coding RNA (CGRA_LNC001421)". Lineage: Eukaryota; Viridiplantae; Streptophyta; Magnoliopsida; Brassicales; Brassicaceae. The record is from RNAcentral.